This 392-nucleotide unclassified non-coding RNA is filed under the name Hevea brasiliensis (rubber tree). The record is from RNAcentral. Lineage: Eukaryota; Viridiplantae; Streptophyta; Magnoliopsida; Malpighiales; Euphorbiaceae.
GCCUCGUCGGGGUUUAUGCUCUUGCAGAGUUCUUUUCCGUUGAAGAAAUCUAGCAAAAGUUGCUGAACUUUUGGAAUUCUUGUUGACCCACCAACAAGAACAAUAUCAUGGACUUGACUUUUAUCUAUCUUUGCAUCGCGUAGACACUUCUCCACAGGUUCCAUACACUUUCUAAACAAAUCCAUGUUGAGUUCUUCGAAUCUUGCUCUAGUAAUGGUGGCAUAGAAAUCAAUACCUUCAUAGAGGGAAUCGAUCUCGAUAGUCGUCUGUGUGGUGGAAGACAGAGUCCUCUUUGCCCUCUCGCAAGCAGUCCUCAACCUUCUCAAAGCUCUGGCGUUGGUACUAAUAUCCUUCUUGUGUUUUCUCUUGAACUCUGCAACAAAAUGGUUAAC